UUUCCAGGAAAUGAGCAGCUCACUGCCAACUCUCCUGUCCCAUCUCCAGACGCCUCCAAGAGCAGAGACUUCCAAACUUCCAUUGGCAACAAAGGAAUCCCAUCCUGAUGGAUCUGCAGCACAGAAGCAGAAGCAGGCUGGCACAGCUUCAGAAACAUUGCUGAGUUCUCAGCCAAGAGCAUUAGCUCUCCAGUCCCAGCACAAGAAGGUGGCAGCAGCACAGCCCAGCAGCUCGGAGUCAGGGAGCACCAGGGAGUGCCACAGCUCCUCAGUGUGUGACAGAGAGAUCAGCUGCAGUGACAGUGAGGAGGACAACCUUCCAAGGGUGCUGGAC
Passer domesticus (house sparrow) is the source of this 334-nucleotide long non-coding RNA. RefSeq lists it as uncharacterized. NCBI's taxonomy places the organism in Eukaryota, Metazoa, Chordata, Aves, Passeriformes, Passeridae. The transcript has 4 exons. The record is from RefSeq and is a predicted model, not a curated record.